This is an RNA transcript of Zeugodacus cucurbitae (melon fly), 1582 nucleotides long. It is a transcript of the gene named SPRY domain-containing SOCS box protein 3, with no coding region annotated. The record is from RefSeq and is a predicted model, not a curated record. Lineage: Eukaryota; Metazoa; Arthropoda; Insecta; Diptera; Tephritidae. The transcript is spliced from 6 exons.
AAGUGGUUUUGCAGGUGUGUAUAAUACGAAACAACCGAAAGUGACCUUCUUUUCGUCAGCCUAAAGUGACUAGACAACUUAAAUGCCGGCAUUACAAAGGAUUCUUGAUUUCUGAAGCCUAAACUGUCAAGUAGCGACCUAACAUUUUGACGUACACACAUACGUUGUAACAUAACGGGAAUAAAAUGUCUUCGGAUGACGACAAUAAUUCAUUAAACUCCUCAGCCAAGUCGGACGCAAGGCUUAGCGAACAGUUAAGUGGCACACCGACGUCGAAUUCGUCGACUGCCAAUAGAGGCGCGGGAAAUGGAGGUGCUGGUUGUGGCAGUGGCAGUGGAAAUACCUCUCAAUUGGCGAGACGUAAGAAAGUCAUGCCGCUGGAGCAUGGUUGCGAGGAUAAUUGGACGUGGAGUAAACGACAUCGUUCCAAGGAGAUCGUAUUGAGUGGUCCUAAUAAUCGCACAGUUCAUUUUCAUCCGAAUUGGAGCAAAGGAACGGCGGGCGUUCAGGGGAAACGUCCGUUGAAUAAUGGGCGCUUCUAUUGGGAAUUACAUGUCUCACAGCGUGUCUUUGGAACGAGCAUUAUGUUCGGUAUCGGCACAAAGCAAGCGCGUCUUCACGCCAACUCAUUUCGUAACAUGCUUGGUGAGAAUGAACAUGGCUGGGGUCUAUCGCACAAGGGUGUGCUGUGGCAUAAAGGUGUAGCGCUGCUCUACACAAAACGUUUCAAAGAAAACCACCCGACCGUUAUUGGUGUGCUUUUCGAUGGCAUUGAGGGUACGCUCAGCUAUUACAAAGAUGGCAAAUGUUUGGGAGUAGCAUUUAGGGGGUUAGAUAAGAUCAAGGAACCGCUGUAUCCGAUUGUCUGUUCAACCGCCGCAAAAACUGAAAUGACACUCAAAUGUACACGACGGGAUUUCGUAAAUCUGCAAGAUCGUUGUCGGGCCGAAAUUAUUAAACACGUCAAAACGAGAGAGGAUUUGGUGAAAUUGAAAUUGCCGCCGCUCAUUACGCAAUAUCUGAGCGAAGUGGUGAACGAUGUGGCACCCCUACGUCAAGUAGACAACUAUGACAUUCUAUGUGAUUUUUAAAUUUCGACAACUCACAGUAGAGAGUAGUUUUCGGAGUAAUGCUGGACAGGAGGUGAUACUAACUUGUGUGGUUGGUAUUUGUCUACGCACAUACAAACAUAUUGAAAUAAAAUUAAAUCGUUUUGACAUGUGCAAGGAUGCAAAGUUGUAAAAUGUAAAUUAGUGAGCGUAGAGUUGAGUGAAUUCUAGUCAUGUAAAUUGUUGUACUGCUUGCUCGAAAAUAGCGCCAUCACUAGCAGUCAGCAUUUUUAGGAAAUAAUUGUAAUUAUUUAAAUUAAAAAAUUUGUUCAAAUGUGAAAAAUAUUCAGUAAUAAUACGCAUUGUAAAGCUAUUAAUGUCUAAUAAAAACAAUAUGUGUAUCUUAAAUAAACAGCUUGAUUGGAUUAAAUAUACCGCGGAUGAAAUUGAGCAAUUGAAUAAAUUUUCAUGUGGCGGUUACAGUGAUGAGACAACAAUAGUUUAUCUGGUGCAUCCAUGUCGAAUCUUAUCAG